GAGUUUGAUCCUGGCUCAGAUUGAACGCUGGCGGCAUGCCUUACACAUGCAAGUCGAACGGCAGCACGGGAGCUUGCUCCUGGUGGCGAGUGGCGAACGGGUGAGUAAUGCAUCGGAACGUAUCCUGGAGUGGGGGAUAACGUAGCGAAAGUUACGCUAAUACCGCAUAUUCUGUGAGCAGGAAAGCGGGGGACCUUCGGGCCUCGCGCUCUUGGAGCGGCCGAUGUCGGAUUAGCUAGUUGGUGAGGUAAAGGCUCACCAAGGCGACGAUCCGUAGCAGGUCUGAGAGGAUGAUCUGCCACACUGGAACUGAGACACGGUCCAGACUCCUACGGGAGGCAGCAGUGGGGAAUUUUGGACAAUGGGGGCAACCCUGAUCCAGCCAUGCCGCGUGAGU
This 397-nucleotide ribosomal RNA is filed under the name bacterium enrichment culture clone ALO1_GLFRUDD03HBXVF. RNAcentral's name for it is "bacterial SSU rRNA". It matches the Rfam family "Bacterial small subunit ribosomal RNA", at positions 9 to 406 of the family's 1533-position model. The record is from RNAcentral. RNAcentral also lists the same sequence under 1 other name.